RNAcentral lists this ribosomal RNA (253 nucleotides) under uncultured bacterium. Its description in RNAcentral is "partial 16S ribosomal RNA". It matches the Rfam family "Bacterial small subunit ribosomal RNA", at positions 524 to 776 of the family's 1533-position model. The record is from RNAcentral.
UACGUAGGGGGCAAGCGUUGUCCGGAAUCAUUGGGCGUAAAGCGCGCGUAGGCGGCCCUGUAAGUCCGCUGUGAAAGUCAAAGGCUCAACCUUUGAAAGCCGGUGGAUACUGCAGGGCUAGAGUCCGGAAGAGGCGAGUGGAAUUCUUGGUGUAGCGGUGGAAUGCGCAGAUAUCAGGAGGAACACCAAUAGCGAAGGCAGCUCGCUGGGACGGUAUUGACGCUAAGGCGCGAAAGCGUGGGGAGCAAACAGG